GUCCUUAGACAAAGUAACAUCGCUUGGUAGCGAAACGAUAUCGAAAAUCGUCAUCGUCUCAACGAUAACGACAAACAUUUCUUAGCCAAAGUAACAUCGCGAUCGUUAUCGUUGUGUCGAAUCGAUUGUUCGCUAAAAAAUAAAAAUAUUGGUUAUGGUAACGAAAAUUUAGCUGUCAGUGUCACUCAAGAAGUUCAAAUCGGAUUAUUCCCGCGACUUAUUACUGUUUUCGAAUUUUACUGAUUAAAAUAAGUGAGUUGUUGGCCAUCACCGUACUUCGUGAGGGUGAUGUUAUCACAGUCAGCGACGUUGGAGUGCUGGGUGACGUCACGGGAUCGGCACGGUGGUCGCCGCGCCGGUGGGCUUCAAGUGGUUGUGCUGCGAUGUCCUUAGCCCAGACGUAAAUAUCCGAAAACUGCUGGGCUCAAGUGCUUCCCAGGAGAAAUAUGACUUUAUUAGUUCAUUUCGAACUAGCCCUCGCAUAAGACAGUCCACGUUAUUUCUAUGAUAGUGAUGAAACAUGGAAUCAAGAGUGCGAACAAGUUCCCAACAAUUGUCAAUGCUGCUGAGGAUAUGGCAAAUCAUGGUGACCCGGCGAGGCCUCUUACUGCAUAGGUUGGGUACGGUCAGACCGACUGUGGACUGAACUGACAAACAUAUUGAAUGCUGUUGGUGGUGGUGGCAGCAAGACUACAGACAAGUGAUAAAAAGUAAGGAUCUAAUGAACAUUUUUGGAAAGACUGGUGUGAUGGUAGAGUGGCUAGCAAGCUAUUUUCUAAAGAGUUUUGGAUAAGUGAACACACCCUUGUGGUUAUGAAAAUUGGCUUGUAAUCAUUUUCUCUGUUAUAACUAGACUGGGGACUUUUUAUAAUUAUGAUGAUGAUGAUGAUCAAUCUCUGACACCCAUAGUAAGAAAGAAACAAGAAAUGUUUAUUGGCAUAUACCAUAAAACAUUUGCUUUCUUAGUUGUAAGUUUUCUUUUAAGCAAAUAUGUAAAAGAAAACUUACAACUAAACAUUAACCUCCUUACUACAAAAAUUCAAACAAGUACAUAUAUAGUAUAGUACAAGCUAUACUUUGGUGUCCAA
Spodoptera frugiperda (fall armyworm) is the source of this 1088-nucleotide long non-coding RNA. RefSeq lists it as uncharacterized. The record is from RefSeq and is a predicted model, not a curated record. Lineage: Eukaryota; Metazoa; Arthropoda; Insecta; Lepidoptera; Noctuidae. The transcript is spliced from 3 exons.